GAUGAACGCUGGCGGCGUGCCUAAUACAUGCAAGUCGAGCGAACGGACGAGAAGCUUGCUUCUCUGAUGUUAGCGGCGGACGGGUGAGUAACACGUGGAUAACCUACCUAUAAGACUGGGAUAACUUCGGGAAACCGUAGCUAAUACCGGAUAAUAUUUUGAACCGCAUGGUUCAAAAGUGAAAGACGGUUUUGCUGUCCCUUAUAGAUGGAUCCGCGCUGCAUUAGCUAGUUGGUAAGGUAACGGCUUACCAAGGCAACGAUGCAUAGCCGACCUGAGAGGGUGAUCAGCCACACUGGAACUGAGACACGGUCCAGACUCCUACGGGAGGCAGCAGUAGGGAAUCUUCGGCAAUGGGCGAAAGCCUGACGGAGCAACGCCGCGUGAGUGAAGAAGGUCUUCGGAUCGUAAAGCUCUGUUAUUAGGGAAGAACAUAUGUGUAAGUAACUGUGCACAUCUUGACGGUACCUACUCAGAAAGCCACGGCUAACUACGUG
RNAcentral lists this ribosomal RNA (497 nucleotides) under uncultured bacterium. Its description in RNAcentral is "partial 16S ribosomal RNA". It matches the Rfam family "Bacterial small subunit ribosomal RNA", at positions 28 to 507 of the family's 1533-position model. The record is from RNAcentral.